UACGUAGGGGGCAAGCGUUGUCCGGAAUUACUGGGCGUAAAGCGUGCGCAGGCGGCUUUGCAAGACAGAUGUGAAAUCCCCGGGCUUAACCUGGGAACUGCAUUUGUGACUGCAUGGCUGGAGUGCGGCAGAGGGGGAUGGAAUUCCGCGUGUAGCAGUGAAAUGCGUAGAUAUCGAGAGGAACACCUGCGGCGAAGGCGGGUUGCUGGGCUGACACUGACGCUGAAGCGCGAAAGCUAGGGGAGCGAACGGG
Molecule: ribosomal RNA, 253 nt
Filed under: uncultured bacterium
Lineage: Bacteria
Description: partial 16S ribosomal RNA
Rfam family: Bacterial small subunit ribosomal RNA
Source: RNAcentral